Molecule: ribosomal RNA, 537 nt
Rfam family: Eukaryotic large subunit ribosomal RNA
GGAGGAGAAGAAACUAACCAGGAUGCCCCUAGUAAUGGCGAAUGAAGCGGGCAUAGCUCACGCCGCCAAUCUGAAGGCCUAAUUCUUAUUACAGAAGCCUUCCGAAUUGGAAUCUAAAAAGGCGCCCUCCGGCGCCUCCGGCCCUCAAAUCCCUUGGAACGGGGUAUCGGAAAAGGUGAAAAUCCUGUGGCGCGGCGGAUAGCGGUCGCACGAUGCGUCCUUGUCGAGUCGGGUUGCUUGGGAUUGCAGCUUGAAGUGGGUGGUAAAUUCCAUCUAAAGCUAAAUACUGGCGAGAGACCGAUAGCGAACAAGUACCGUGAGGGAAAGAUGCAAAGAACUUUGAAAAGAGAGUUAAAGAGUGCUUGAAAUCGGCAAGAGGAAACCCGUUUGCGCCCGGCCUCGCGUCGUCGACUCAGCCGUUCUUUUGAGCGGUGCACUUUGUCGUCGCGGGUCAGCGUUCGCUCUUUCGGCGUGACACGGCGUACCGCAGGGCCUUUUGGCGAUCGGUUCGCACUCUCGCGGGAGGGGCGUUGCUGA